This is a non-coding RNA of Podarcis lilfordi (Lilford's wall lizard), 73 nucleotides long. The record is from the annotation of a GenBank genome assembly. NCBI's taxonomy places the organism in Eukaryota, Metazoa, Chordata, Lepidosauria, Squamata, Lacertidae.
GUCUAGCUCAGUUGGUUAGAGCAUGGUGCUGAUAACACCAAGGUUGCAAGUUCAAUCCCCUUAUGGGCUAGCU